GCCCCAUUGGCCAAAAGGUUAAGGCAUCUGCCUCCUAAGUAGAAGACUGUGGGUUCGAGUCCCAUGUGGGGUG
This is a transfer RNA of Ascoidea rubescens DSM 1968, 73 nucleotides long. It matches the Rfam family "tRNA". Rfam says of the family: Transfer RNA (tRNA) molecules are approximately 80 nucleotides in length. Their secondary structure includes four short double-helical elements and three loops (D, anti-codon, and T loops). Further hydrogen bonds mediate the characteristic L-shaped molecular structure. tRNAs have two regions of fundamental functional importance: the anti-codon, which is responsible for specific mRNA codon recognition, and the 3' end, to which the tRNAs corresponding amino acid is attached (by aminoacyl-tRNA synthetases). tRNAs cope with the degeneracy of the genetic code in two manners: having more than one tRNA (with a specific anti-codon) for a particular amino acid; and 'wobble' base-pairing, i.e. permitting non-standard base-pairing at the 3rd anti-codon position. The record is from Rfam. NCBI's taxonomy places the organism in Eukaryota, Fungi, Ascomycota, Saccharomycetes, Ascoideales, Ascoideaceae.